CUGGCCUCAAAUCAGGUAGGGCUACCCGCUGAACUUAAGCAUAUCAAUAAGCGGAGGAAAAGAAACUAACUAGGAUUCCCUUAGUAACGGCGAGUGAACCGGGAUGAGCUCAAAUUUAAAAUCUGGCGUCUUUCAGGCGUCCGAGUUGUAAUCUAUAGAGGCGUUUUCCGCGCCGGACCGCGUCCAAGUCUCUUGGAAUAGAGUAUCAAAGAGGGUGACAAUCCCGUACUUGACGCGACAACCGGUGCUCUGUGAUACGUUCUCAAUGAGUCGAGUUGUUUGGGAAUGCAGCUCUAAAUGGGUGGUAAAUUCCAUCUAAGGCUAAAUAUUGGCGAGAGACCGAUAGCGAACAAGUACCGUGAGGGAAAGAUGAAAAGCACUUUGGAAAGAGAGUUAAACAGCACGUGAAAUUGUUAAAAGGGAAACGAUUGAAGUCAGUCGUGUGAAAGGUAUUCAGCCGUCUCUGGCGGUGUAUUUGCCUUUCACGGGUCAACAUCAGUUUGAUCCGGUAGAAAAAGGCGGGAGGAAGGUGGCACCCUCGGGUGUGUUAUAGCCUCCUGUCAUAUGUGCCGGACCAGACUGAGGAACGCAGCUUGCCGCAAGGCCGGGGUUCGCCCACGUACAAGCUAGGAUG
Molecule: ribosomal RNA, 634 nt
Filed under: Vishniacozyma victoriae
Lineage: Eukaryota; Fungi; Basidiomycota; Tremellomycetes; Tremellales; Bulleribasidiaceae
Description: eukaryotic LSU rRNA
Rfam family: Eukaryotic large subunit ribosomal RNA
Source: RNAcentral